This 468-nucleotide ribosomal RNA is filed under the name uncultured bacterium. RNAcentral describes it as "partial 16S ribosomal RNA". It matches the Rfam family "Bacterial small subunit ribosomal RNA", at positions 28 to 507 of the family's 1533-position model. The record is from RNAcentral.
GACGAACGCUGGCGGCGUGCCUAACACAUGCAAGUCGAACGGAAAGGCCCUGCUUUUGUGGGGUGCUCGAGUGGCGAACGGGUGAGUAACACGUGAGUAACCUGCCCUUGACUUUGGGAUAACUUCAGGAAACUGGGGCUAAUACCGGAUAGGAGCUCCUGCUGCAUGGUGGGGGUUGGAAAGUUUCGGCGGUUGGGGAUGGACUCGCGGCUUAUCAGCUUGUUGGUGGGGUAGUGGCUUACCAAGGCUUUGACGGGUAGCCGGCCUGAGAGGGUGACCGGCCACAUUGGGACUGAGAUACGGCCCAGACUCCUACGGGAGGCAGCAGUGGGGAAUAUUGCACAAUGGGCGGAAGCCUGAUGCAGCAACGCCGCGUGCGGGAUGACGGCCUUCGGGUUGUAAACCGCUUUCGCCUGUGACGAAGCGUGAGUGAUGGUAAUGGGUAAAGAAGCACCGGCUAACUACGUG